ACGUUAGUGCUUAGGCACAAAAACAUGGAAAAAGAUGGCCCAGAUCGAAAAUACUUAAGUUUCACUUGAAACGUACUGUAAAUGGGUGGUUUGGGGUCAGAGAGAUUGGCUAUUGUUAACUUGGCCAGAUUAUUACUGCAUCUGUUUGGGCAAGAAGACCCUGUUCUGUAGCAUAGUGACUGUAAUGACAAUAAACGAUUAUGAUUAUUAAAAAAAAUAUGAAUUGGGGUAUAAAUUACCUUUAUCACCGUUUAUAAUUAUCUAUUAGACAACAAAGCAAGUAUAAUGCAUGCCAUGGCAAUAUAUUCAGCAAGGUCAAGGAUAAUAUUUUACUAACCUAGAUGUAUUAUUGAAGUAGGCCUAUAUGAAAUGCAUGUGGCAACAGUGUAUGUGUUAGCCUAUCCCCAACAAGCAACAUCAAUGAAUAAACAUUUAUUUUGAUUUCUUCCAGCAGUGUGGUCCACUUGUCUUUGCAUCCUGGGAAGUGCAUUGCUUUCACAAGGAAGCGUAUUUUUUUGGCAUUGAAGGAAAGAAAUGUACUGCCCGACAGGGAGUGAGCAGAAGAUCAGGACGGUGGUGCAGAGUGAUGGCCAUCAACCCACAUGUCAACAGCUUCGUUCGGUCCUUUGUGUUUAAAUGGAAGACUUCACACUGAGGGACUGUGGCCUGUUUGCAGCCAUCCACGUGCCCUUCAGUUAGGGGUGAAUCUUGUGAGACACUUGUUGUUUUUGCUCACUUUUUAAGAUAAAUCAAAUUUCUGAUGUACUGUACCAAGACCGUUGCUGAUGGGGCGAAAGAUGGUGACAAUUCUGAAAUGUUUUGAAAUGUUUAAAUAUAUUGAUUGAAUAAAAAUACAUUUUUUAAAUUUA
Molecule: long non-coding RNA, 869 nt
Organism: Megalobrama amblycephala (Wuchang bream)
Lineage: Eukaryota; Metazoa; Chordata; Actinopteri; Cypriniformes; Xenocyprididae
Exons: 2
Source: RefSeq, a predicted model, not a curated record